AGUCGGCGCUGGCGUAGCUCGGCUCAGCCCGGCGGAGUCUGACUUCCGGAGGGCCAGCGGCGCGCUGGCUGGUUACCAAGGUUACCGCCGAGAGGCCGCGUCCUCAGCUGGUCCUAGACAUGCGUGGCGUCGGGGCUGUGGCACGGUCGGGUCCGGGCUUGAAUGCACCAAGGAAAGGCCAUUUGUGGGGACAUAGCAAGAAGGCAGCUGUCUGCAAGCCAGGAGGAGAACCCUCACCAGAAACCUCACAGAAAUCGGCCAACACCCUCAUCUCGGGCUUCCAGCUUCAGAACAACGAGAAAACAAAUUUCUGUUGUGUCCUGGUUCCCAUUUGUAAUUGGCACCCUAAUGAAACCGUUUUCUGUAGCCCUGGAAAUGGCUGAAAAUGAGGGGAGGGAAAUAAAGUGCUAUAAUUCAGAGCAUGGAGCACACCUUCCUGGUUCACCUGAGCUGGAUUCGGAGAGGUAAAAUGGCCAUUACCUCGUCUAAGCUGCCACUUACAGACACAGUACAGGAUGAGGCCCAGACCCACAGAGACAACGAUGAUGGCCACAGCUAAGAUGAUCCAGAAAUUAUUCCUCCACCAGCUCAUUGCAGUGGAAUCCUGAGAAGAAUGGAGAGAGAAGAAUGAGAGGGCAAAAGCAGAUGGCUACACCGAGAACUCACGCCAGCCCAACACACUUUGAUCUCGAGGCCUCUGGAAGGGAAGGUGCCUAAUGAACUACUGAAAGCCAGAGAUGCAAUGACAAAGCAGUCGUACCAGGGCCCCAGGCUGCAAUCCCCUGGCCCAGUGCUGAUCGGUGGCUCCCAGGGACACGCCCUGAUGCCAGCGCUGGCAGAUGUCUGCUGUGAAGAGAGCAGGAAACUGUCCCUUGGAAAGCUGAGAUGCUUACCUGAACUGUGAAAGUAUCCAUAUGUGAGCAGCUAAGGAGACAGCAGUGGCUGGAG
This 948-nucleotide long non-coding RNA is filed under the name Homo sapiens (human). Its description in RNAcentral is "HSALNT0388188". The record is from RNAcentral. Lineage: Eukaryota; Metazoa; Chordata; Mammalia; Primates; Hominidae.